This 501-nucleotide ribosomal RNA is filed under the name uncultured bacterium. RNAcentral's name for it is "partial 16S ribosomal RNA". It matches the Rfam family "Bacterial small subunit ribosomal RNA", at positions 28 to 523 of the family's 1533-position model. The record is from RNAcentral.
GAUGAACGCUAGCGACAGGCUUAACACAUGCAAGUCGAGGGGCAGCACAGGUAGCAAUACCGGGUGGCGACCGGCGCACGGGUGAGUAACGCGUAUGCAACUUGCCUAUCAGAGGGGGAUAACCCGGCGAAAGUCGGACUAAUACCGCAUGAAGCAGGGGCCCCGCAUGGGGAUAUUUGCUAAAGAUUCAUCGCUGAUAGAUAGGCAUGCGUUCCAUUAGGCAGUUGGCGGGGUAACGGCCCACCAAACCGACGAAGGAUAGGGGUUCUGAGAGGAAGGUCCCCCACAUGGGUACUGAGACACGGACCAAACUCCUACGGGAGGCAGCAGUGAGGAAUAUUGGUCAAUGGGCGCGAGCCUGAACCAGCCAAGUCGCGUGAGGGAUGAAGGUUCUAUGGAUCGUAAACCUCUUUUAUAAGGGAAUAAAGUGCGGGACGUGUCCCGUUUUGUAUGUACCUUAUGAAUAAGGAUCGGCUAACUCCGUGCCAGCCGCCGCCGUAA